Molecule: ribosomal RNA, 563 nt
Filed under: uncultured bacterium
Lineage: Bacteria
Description: partial 16S ribosomal RNA
Rfam family: Bacterial small subunit ribosomal RNA
Source: RNAcentral
UGGGGAAUAUUGCACAAUGGGCGAAAGCCUGAUGCAGCAACGCCGCGUGAGUGAUGAAGGCCUUCGGGUUGUAAGGCUCUGUCUUUUGGGACGAUAAUGACGGUACCAAAGGAGGAAGCCACGGCUAACUACGUGCCAGCAGCCGCGGUAAUACGUAGGUGGCAAGCGUUGUCCGGAUUUACUGGGCGUAAAGGAUGCGUAGGCGGAUUUUUAAGUGAGAUGUGAAAACCCUAAGCUUAACUUGGGGACUGCAUUUCAUACUGGAAAUCUAGAGUGCGGGAGAGGAGAAUGGAAUUCCUAGUGUAGCGGUGAAAUGCGUAGAGAUUAGGAAGAACACCAGUGGCGAAGGCGAUUCUCUGGACCGUAACUGACGCUGAGGCAUGAAAGCGUGGGUAGCAAACAGGAUUAGAUACCCUGGUAGUCCACGCCGUAAACGAUGAGUACUAGGUGUAGGAGGUAUCGACCCCUUCUGUGCCGCAGUUAACACAAUAAGUACUCCGCCUGGGAAGUACGAUCGCAAGAUUAAAACUCAAAUGAAUUGACGGGGUCAUAGCUGUUUUCCU